Molecule: ribosomal RNA, 318 nt
Filed under: Polyporus arcularius
Lineage: Eukaryota; Fungi; Basidiomycota; Agaricomycetes; Polyporales; Polyporaceae
Description: SSU rRNA
Rfam family: Bacterial small subunit ribosomal RNA
Source: RNAcentral
GCCAGAAGACUCGGUAAGACCAGAGACGCAAACGUUAAUCAUCAUAAGCAGGCGUAAAGGGUUUGUAGGCAGCUCCCACCGAGACUAUGAUUCCAAAAUAAAGUAGUCUAAUUGAGAGCUAGAAUCAAAAAGAGGUUAUAGUGUAUAACGCCUAGAGGAGGGCUGAUAUCCAUAGAUCCUAGGCGAAUACUCAGGGCGAAGGCCACUCUCCACUAAUGAUUGACGCUGAGAAACGAAGGUUAGGGUAGGAAAUAGGAUUAGAUACCCCGGUACUCCUUUCUGUAAACGUAUGAAUGGUAGUCAUUAGUUUAAACACUA